AAGGGAACGUCAUCAUUUGGAAAGCCUCACAUUAAGACGCACACAUUGCGCUGCUGCUACAGCUCUAAUACCUGCCACUUUCAGAAGUCAAUGUGUGGCAAAUGUCGUUACCCUCCCAAGCAUAAAAUAAAGUAUAACUGGAGUGCUAAGGCUAAAAGACAAAAUACCGCCGGGAUUGGUGUUACUAGUUACCUAAAAAUUGUACACCAUGAAUUCAGGCAUGGACUCUGUGAAGGAAUAACACAAAAACCCAAAGGGGCAGCUGUAGCAGCAUCCAGUUCCUUUUAA
Molecule: long non-coding RNA, 288 nt
Filed under: Homo sapiens (human)
Lineage: Eukaryota; Metazoa; Chordata; Mammalia; Primates; Hominidae
Description: non-protein coding lnc-TSR2-8:1
Source: RNAcentral